RNAcentral lists this long non-coding RNA (1375 nucleotides) under Cricetulus griseus (Chinese hamster). RNAcentral's name for it is "lncRNA (ENSCGRG00015033276.1)". The record is from RNAcentral. Lineage: Eukaryota; Metazoa; Chordata; Mammalia; Rodentia; Cricetidae.
AAGAAGGCGUCUACUUCUCCUUGAGGGGCGCGGCGCUCUGAAGUCGGCGGAGGCUGUGGAAGGGUUAGGGCUCGCUGCACUCGAACCACUGUUCUUCAAAUCAGCGUAGUCUCAGAGUCCGUACAGUCUAAAACUGGAAAAGAUGACGGGGAGCCUGGUGUCGUUAGCCUGGAGGACGGGUUGGGUCGAGGUUCUAGAUGGUUCUGGGGAUGAGAACCUUUAUCCCUGUGUCCCCGACGUUUGUCACAGCCAGGCGAGGUGGCCUGGUCACCGGAAGGAAGAUCGGGAGCUCAACGGUAUCCCCCGCUACAAAGUUCAAGCCAGGACUGAGACCCAAGUCAUUUGUUGUAACAAGUUAAUGUAUCCUUACGUGCUUGUCGUUUGUUUGGUUUUCGAGACAGGGUUUCUCUGUGGCUUUGGAGGGUGUCCUGGAACUCUAUACCAGGCUGGCCUCGAACUCAGAGAUCCGCCUGCCUCUGCCUCCCGGGUGCCGGGAUUAAAGAUUCACUCAGCACAUGGCUCGAAACCCAGACAACUUAUAAAGAAAUAAAGAGACUCCACUGUCCAGUAACAUUCAAGAGCAGACCUGCAGUGGCCUCCUCAGCAGAGAAUCAGGAGGUGUGGGAGAGGGGCCGGUGCUAAGGAGCCCUGCAGAAGGUUCCCAACUUCCUGGAGGGUGUCCCAGCUCCCAGAGUUCUGCUUUUUGGCAUCUGGUUCUCAGCUAGAUCUACCUUUGUGGGUAACAGCACCUCACCCAUCACUAUUUCUGAAUCGCUGAGUUGUUUUCUGCUGCCUUUGGGAUGCCAGUUUCCACUCUGCUGGCACCGAGGAAGAACAGAAGGGCAGCCCCAUCCAUUAGACUGUUGAGGGGAGUGGGGGUGUUGACAACUUCCCCCACAUCUCAAGACCCGCUUAACUGCUUUGGGGUGUAUUCACUGAGGACACAGAGGAAACAGCCGCGGACAAGAGGGUCUGGGCACGCAGCUCAGUUGGUAGAGGUCUUGCCUGGCAUGCAGAAGGCCCUGGGUUUGAGCCCCAGAUCUCAUCAACCAGGGAUGAUGGCACAAGACUAAUCCUAGCACUCAGGAGGUGGUAGAGACAGGAAGCUCAGAAGUUGGAGGUCAUCUUUGGGCACAUAGCAAGCAACAAAUUCAGGUCUAGCCUGAGACUGAGGAAGGGCAGGUGUGGAAAUGGGACCACAUGGCGGCUUCGUAGAGAAGAGAGCAGGAGGAAGAGGAAGAGCAAGAGAAUGAUUUCCUUCUUGUCCCUGCUUAUUAUCUGAGUCUGCCUGCUAUGUCACUUCCUGCCUGGAUCUCUACUACAUUUCCCAGAAUCCUCCUUGACUCCUAGUCCCACCCAUCUUGCUUUCCUACUG